UUCGUCCAAUUGAAGCAGAGGACAGUGGCGGACGGGUGAGUAACGCGUGAGGAACCUGCCUUCAAGAGGGGGAUAACAUUCUGAAAAGAAUGCUAAUACCGCAUGACAUAUCGGAACCACAUGGUUCUGAUAUCAAAGAUUUUAUCGCUUGAAGAUGGACUCGCGUCCGAUUAGUUAGUUGGUGAGGUAACGGCUCACCAAGACCGCGAUCGGUAGCCGACCUGAGAGGGUGAUCGGCCACAUUGGGACUGAGACACGGCCCAAACUCC
Molecule: ribosomal RNA, 269 nt
Filed under: uncultured Bacillota bacterium
Lineage: Bacteria; Bacillati; Bacillota
Description: uncultured Firmicutes bacterium partial 16S ribosomal RNA
Rfam family: Bacterial small subunit ribosomal RNA
Source: RNAcentral